UUCGCCCUUUUCCGGUUGAUCCUGCCGGACCUGACUGCUAUCGGAUUGAUACUAAGCCAUGCGAGUCAUUGUAGCAAUACAAGGCAGACGGCUCAGUAACGCGUAGUCAACCUAACCUAUGGACGGGAAUAACCUCGGGAAACUGAGAAUAAUGCCCGAUAGAACACUAUAUCUGGAAUGGUUUGUGUUCCAAAUGAUUUAUCGCCGUAGGAUGGGACUGCGGCCUAUCAGUUUGUUGGUGAGGUAGUGGCCCACCAAGACUAUUACAGGUACGGGCUCUGAGAGGAGUAGCCCGGAGAUGGGUACUGAGACACGGACCCAGGCCCUAUGGGGCGCGGCAGGCGAGAAAACUUUGCAAUGUGCGAAAGCACGACAAGGUUAAUCCGAGUGAUUUGUGCUAAACGAAUCUUUUGUUAGUCCUAGAACCACUAACGAAUAAGGGGUGGGCAAGUUCUGGUGUCAGCCGCCGCGGUAAAACCAGCACCUCAAGUGGUCAGGAUGAUUAUUGGGCCUAAAGCAUCCGUAGCCGGCUCUGUAAGUUUUCGGUUAAAUCUGUACGCUUAACGUACAGGCUGCCGGGAAUACUGCAGAGCUAGGGAGUGGGAGAGGUAGACGGUACUCGGUAGGAAGGGGUAAAAUCCUUUGAUCUAUUGAUGACCACCUGUGGCGAAG
This 672-nucleotide ribosomal RNA is filed under the name uncultured archaeon. Its description in RNAcentral is "bacterial SSU rRNA". It matches the Rfam family "Archaeal small subunit ribosomal RNA", at positions 1 to 671 of the family's 1478-position model. The record is from RNAcentral.